Myotis lucifugus (little brown bat) is the source of this 1926-nucleotide long non-coding RNA. RefSeq lists it as uncharacterized. The transcript has 2 exons. The record is from RefSeq and is a predicted model, not a curated record. Lineage: Eukaryota; Metazoa; Chordata; Mammalia; Chiroptera; Vespertilionidae.
GACAGUCAGGACCAGGAGUCAAGGGGAGGAGGACCCAAGGGGAGGGGCAGGGCCAGCCCCCAGGAGUCUUCUUGUUUGAGCAAUGACUCCAAAAACAGGAAAAUAGUCUAGCUAUGGACCUGGAAACCUGGAGAGCAGGAGAGGCAGUGACUCAAAAGGGACAGGGGGCAGAGAAAAAACCCAGGGGACAUGCUUCCCUAGGUUCACCAGGAGCAGCUUCCAUUCAGACCACAGUAAUGGGCUGAGUCUCUAGCCUGGGAGAUCCUGUGGGGACAGGGUUUGUCUAUGAGAGGAGGCAGAGUCUCAGACCUGAGAAUUCAGGGGCAGGAGGAAGCGAAGGCAACAGCAUCAGCAGCCUCUGGUGCAGAGCAUGAAGACCUGGCACCUCUGUGAUGCAGAAAUGGAGAGGCGGGGCACCUGGGACCCAAGUGGGAGCACUCAGGCCCCACACCGAUGGCCCCUUCUGGGAUGUGGCCCAUCAGUCAGCAGGACUCCUGGCCCCCUUGCCCUCCUUUCUUCCUAGGGAGUCUCUGAGGCUGGGAGUUCUGUGAAGGUUCUGGUGAAUUUUCAGCAUGGAUGAGGCAUGGUCAGAAGAGCAAGCACCCUUUGAAACUCUUGCCCUCACCCAUGACUGUUUGACUUCUCAUGUGUGCAGAAAAGAGAUGUUUUGGGACAAAUUCAACUCACCAUCUUCUCUUCAGGCCUCAUCGGUCUUGCCAGGACCUCAGAUUCACUGUCUUGCUGCUGAUUUCGUGAAGAUAUUUUUAUUUUGCAGAAGGUACAUUUCCAAUUGUUCCUGAGAUGUCAGAUAUAAGUGAGCAAGGCAAGCCCCAGAAACACCUCCAUUCCCACAGCUGCCAUUCUUCUUUCAGACAUAGCUGAUGGGCACAGCCAGGGAAUGAGGGGACACCUCCAAGAUUCUCCAGGACUCUCAUGUGGUAACCCUGGCUCUUAGAGUAGAAGCAGCAGUUUACUGGGUGUAAUAUGGUGUCUGGGUGAGUGAUGGGCUCCCCUUUCUCUUUCUAAGCUGCUGGGAGCACAAGUAGCCAUGCCCAACAAGUCUUAGUGUUGGAAAUGGGCCUUAACCCCUGGGGUCCUUGUGCCUCUAUUAGCCAGUUGAGAACAUGGCAAAAUGAGGAAAAAUAUCUUUGUUUCAUGCCUUUUCUGAAUAAGCACAGAACACAGACAACUAGAAUUUAUGCUCCUGUGAAUAGGAGUCUGAGGUGGGAAAAUUCUGAAAAGGACAGUAGUGGUAUGUAGGCAAGGAACCCAGCUACCAGUCUCAACCUCCCUGGGGAGAGAGGAGAACAUUACCUUUACAUUGACAGUAUCUUUAAACAGCUCCCUACAUCAUAUCAUUGGACCCUGUACUUCUGACCCUGCUCAUUUUCCAUCAGGACACAAGGAGAGACUCUGCAUUGGGAGUGUGCAUGGAAGGAAGAAGGUCCAUAGAUGGAGAGGGGUCUGUAUCUCACAAACCUCGUAGGAUCCACAGGUGGGAUGUGACAGUCCCCAUGAAAGAAGCUGGCACAACGACUGCACUUGAAGAGUUUUCCUUCAUCCCCACAGACCUUGCAUUUCUCUGCUUUUUUCAGCUAAAAGAUAAAAUAAUGUAUGUAUCCCCAGUGAGACCCUGAAGACCAGCGCUGUGGGAAUCUGGAACUCAUUGAUUUUGUGGGAAACUUCAUGGACAAGUUAUGUACUUCUCCCUGAGCUGUGAACCAACUGCAUGGAGUGGAGUUUCAGAAAAAGAACUCUUGGUCUGUGGUGAAGUUCAGGAGGAAUGGUCUAUGUGACCAGAAAAGGUUUUCCUAUAAAACCAGAGUCUCUAACACAGAAAGACCAGCUACAAAAGAGAGGGUGAAUUUUAUAGAAAUGUGAACCAUUGUAUUACCUUUCAAAUAAAACAAGGUCCUGGAACAAAAA